AGAGAAAAUAACCCUUGAGAAUGACUGGAGUUGAUUCAUCCUGUUGGGGGCAGACUGAAGAGGCCAGAGGCCAGCGCUCAGUUCCUUCUCCUGAGAGUCCCAGUACCACUGUGGAGAUUACAAAUUGUUCACCAAAAUCUGUUCUCCGUUCUUCCAUGGUAGUUGGGUACAUGGCUGAGUAUUAUUUCUUUCCUUCUGGAUCCAUUCUAAUGAGGCUUCUCUACCUCCUCAAACCAAGGAUGCUCACUGUGAUCCCAGCCAGACUCAGACCAUCAUUUCUCCAGUAUUACUGGUUACAUUACAUGGGCCUGUUCGGUGGGAGAGGAGACCACACCGAACAUGGGAACCAGGAUGAGAGAAUCAUGGGAGGUCAUCCUGGAGGCUCAGCUGCCAGAAAUCAUGGCGCUUUGAGUCAUGAAGCUCGGGAUGUGAGGUUUGCUUGGGCAGAUCUCCUACUGCAGGCCAGGAAUGUGUCAGAAACUUGCCUUAGAGAGAACACUGUCUUCAGAUGCUACAGAGCAGUGUGGUGACCAGUAGAAACUCCACACUUGAUGAGUGGCAAAUGGGACAGGGACAGGGUCUCACUAUGUUGCCCAGGCUGAUCUUGAACAUCUGGCUUCAAGGGAUCCUCCAUUCUUGGCCUCUCAGAGCACUGGGAUUACAG
RNAcentral lists this long non-coding RNA (664 nucleotides) under Callithrix jacchus (white-tufted-ear marmoset). RNAcentral's name for it is "lncRNA (ENSCJAG00000054063.2)". Lineage: Eukaryota; Metazoa; Chordata; Mammalia; Primates; Cebidae. The record is from RNAcentral.